GGGUCGGUAGCUCAGCUGGGAGAACGCUUGGUUCGCAAUCAGGAGGUCAGGGGUUCAAUUCCCCUUCGAUCCA
Molecule: transfer RNA, 73 nt
Filed under: Candidatus Omnitrophota bacterium
Lineage: Bacteria; Pseudomonadati; Candidatus Omnitrophota
Description: tRNA-Ala
Rfam family: tRNA
About the family: Transfer RNA (tRNA) molecules are approximately 80 nucleotides in length.
Source: RNAcentral